Molecule: ribosomal RNA, 253 nt
Filed under: uncultured bacterium
Lineage: Bacteria
Description: partial 16S ribosomal RNA
Rfam family: Bacterial small subunit ribosomal RNA
Source: RNAcentral
UACGUAGGGGGCAAGCGUUGUCCGGAUUUAUUGGGCGUAAAGAGCGUGUAGGCGGCCAAGUAAGUCUGCUGUGAAAACUCGAGGCUUAACCUCGAGCUGUCGGCGGAAACUAUUUGGCUAGAGUCCGGAAGAGGAGAAUGGAAUUCCCGGUGUAGCGGUGAAAUGCGCAGAUAUCGGGAAGAACACCCGUGGCGAAGGCGGGUCUCUGGACAGUUCCUGACGCUGAGGCACGAAGGCCAGGGGAGCAAACGGG